CCAUCCAUCCACCCAUCCAUCCAUCCACCCAUCCAUCCAUCCAUCCAUCCAUCCAUCCAUCCAUCCAUCCAUCCAUCCAUCCAUCCAUCCAUCCAUCCAUCCCCGCUUCUCCUUGCAGGCUUGCCAGGUAUUUCAAUCAGUGAACUAAAAUCUGGAUUUAGAUUUCAUUUUGAUCCAAUCAUGUAAAAUAUAUCAAGGCUCUGUGAACUCCUUUGACCUUCUAUUCUGCAUAAACAGUGAAGACAGGAUUAUCUCGUCACAGCACCUCGCUCUGGGGAACGUCUCUUUGUGGUUUGCUAAACGUAGAUGGGGUGGCAGAGGCACCGGCUUCACUCUGAACGAAAACCAGGCACUCCAACUUUGUCGGCUUGUGUUUGAGCUUAUAAAGUGUGAACAAUUUGCUGAAAUGCAAACAUCUAAAGUAAAACACAAGUUCCCUCAUGUGCACAUCUUCUGAUUAUCAAAAAAAAAAGGCUGUGAAUUGAUCAAAAGCUCUACUCACCCCGCUAUUCAGUCGUUGUUGUUUUGCUGGGAUGUGUUUUAUCCUCCUUGUUCAUUCUCUCACUUUUUUAACCUCACGUUCACUUGUCAGGGCGGUGCUCCCAUAUUCUUCCUUUUUUAGUAAUUUUCCUUUAUUCCUCCAGUUUUUGAGUUUCUUCUUUUAGUUUCACGCUUGUUGCACAUCUCUUAUUUCAUCCCAGUUGUGUUUGUCUUUUUAAUCCUUCAUUGUCCUCCUCUUCCUCCUUCACUGAUUGUAAUCCUGUCUACUCUACUGUGCUGUGUGAACUCACAGAACAGACUGGAAGUGCUGCGUCAAUCAGAGCAGGGCAUGAUGGGAGGGGGAGACGGAGAGGAAAGGAGACGAUCAGGAGCUUCCUCCCUGUCUGAGCAUCCGUCUUACUUACAGGCACCCCAGGUAAAGAUGUGGGGAAAGAAUAAAACAUUCUUUAUUGUAGAAGUGCAUUUAUUCUGUGGGGAAAAUAAAAUAAAAUAAUAAUAAUAAGUUUAUUGUUUGAACAAAAUCCUCUCUGUCAGCCUUAUCUCUUCUUGCAAACUCUGUAAAAUGAAUAUACCAAAAUAUUUUCUCAUAAUUUGUAAUAAACCUUUUUUGAGUUGA
Long non-coding RNA from Xiphophorus hellerii (green swordtail), 1117 nucleotides. RefSeq lists it as uncharacterized. The record is from RefSeq and is a predicted model, not a curated record. The transcript has 2 exons. NCBI's taxonomy places the organism in Eukaryota, Metazoa, Chordata, Actinopteri, Cyprinodontiformes, Poeciliidae.